GUGAAGAACGCAGCGAAAUGCGAUAAGUAAUGUGAAUUGCAGAAUUCAGUGAAUCAUCGAAUCUUUGAACGCACAUUGCGCCCCCUGGUAUUCCGGGGGGCAUGCCUGUCCGAGCGUCAUUACAACCCUCAAGCUCAGCUUGGUGUUGGGCCCCGCCGCCCCGGCGGGCCCUAAAGUCAGUGGCGGUGCCGUCCGGCUCCGAGCGUAGUAAUUCUUCUCGCUCUGGAGGUCCGGUCGUGUGCUCGCCAGCAACCCCCAAUUUUUUUCAGGUUGACCUCGGAUCAGGUAGGGAUACCCGCUGAACUUAAGCAUAUCAAUAAGUGGAGGA
RNAcentral lists this unclassified non-coding RNA (328 nucleotides) under soil metagenome. RNAcentral's name for it is "partial contains 5.8S ribosomal RNA, internal transcribed spacer 2, and large subunit ribosomal RNA". The stretch from base 2 to 119 matches the Rfam family "5.8S ribosomal RNA", at positions 37 to 154 of the family's 154-position model. The record is from RNAcentral.